This is a non-coding RNA of Malus domestica (apple), 929 nucleotides long. NCBI's taxonomy places the organism in Eukaryota, Viridiplantae, Streptophyta, Magnoliopsida, Rosales, Rosaceae. The record is from RefSeq and is a predicted model, not a curated record.
UGCAAAAACCUUCUCCCUUCCAUUUAUUUUUUUUUUCGCAUUUCUCUCGAUUUGCUCUCAAACCCCAUCCAUGGUGGAGCGACACAGGCAUGUCUGAUUCCUCUAUAAUAGGGCUCUGGUCCGCAAUACGGAGACCCAAACGAGCAGAACUAAAACAGUUCGUCCAAAAAUCCCCCCUUUGCAGGUAAAAACGAAGCCAUGCCAUUUCUCCUUUUGUUCGUUCAAAUUUUCCUCGCAGAUUGAUGCAUCCGUAGCCGUCCAUAACCCAACAACAACAACACACCCGCCGUGAGUACCCCGCCGUGGUGGAAAAUCGGAAAAACGGAAACCCAAAGUGGGAAGAGCCCUAAUGGUUUCAAAUCCGUACAACAACACAAGAACACACCCGGAGUCAGCAGCUCAGCUCAACCAAGGAUCUGCAAAUGUUGAGCGUACAACCGAGAGACAACAACUAUGAGCUUCCGGUCUAGUGGUUCCUGAAGCAAAAUCAACAGCAACUGUCGCGGCCUCUGUAUGUCAUAUAGGGGUAUACGGAUCCAUGAUAGAGCCAAGGACACAGAAGUAAACACACAAGAGCAACGGAGGAAAACAGCACAGGUCGCAUGACCCAGAUCGAUGCAUCUGGGAGGUCCCCAGAAAAGACUGAUUCCAGAAACCUCUCCUGCAGAGGACGAACCCGCUGCAAAUGUUGUUCCCUGCGUUUCCUCCUUAAAUGCUGUUCAAAUUCUGGAUCAAAUGGAAUCAAUUUUUGCACUGUUGAACGGGUGCUGACCAUGCACAGAUUUCUGAAAUCUGUACUGUUGUAAUCUGUAAAAAUAGAUGAAAACGAAAAUUAAAUAUUUUUUUGUUUUUUUUUAUAUAUGUAUAAACAGCAAUACUAAUUGAAAAUCUGAUUCGUAGGGAUUAUUUUAAAUAAUCCCCGGCAACGG